This 73-nucleotide transfer RNA is filed under the name Camelus bactrianus (Bactrian camel). It matches the Rfam family "tRNA". From Rfam's summary of the family: Transfer RNA (tRNA) molecules are approximately 80 nucleotides in length. The record is from Rfam by way of RNAcentral. Lineage: Eukaryota; Metazoa; Chordata; Mammalia; Artiodactyla; Camelidae. RNAcentral also lists the same sequence under 2 other names.
GAGGGUAUAGCUCAAGUGGUAGAGUGCAUGCUUAGCAUGCAUGAGGUCCUGGGUUCAAUCCCCAGCACUUCCA